Molecule: long non-coding RNA, 1275 nt
Filed under: Homo sapiens (human)
Lineage: Eukaryota; Metazoa; Chordata; Mammalia; Primates; Hominidae
Description: HSALNT0404579
Source: RNAcentral
CUUGAGACAGGUGGGACAUGUCAUUUCUCACAUGAGGUCCCGGCGAGAAGGACCUGCUUCCAUCAGAUUCACACUUGGGAGAGGGGCCCGGCCUCCAGGAGCGCCAGGCAGAAAGGGCACCCAUUAGGAAGAAGAACACAGAGGCCAUGGGAGUGAAAAGUUUGAUGCUGGAAAGCAACAGUAGCACAUUCUGCUACAGAGCGGAAUGAAAAACCCUGGGGAGCAAAUUCCUGAGCCAGAGAAUGGAGCGGAGGAACCAGCCAAGGAGGAUAAAGAGAAAACUACCUGCUGUCAUCAGGGGUUGGUUGGUUGAGCCUUUCCCUGUGCUUGCCUGGCAGACCUGCGUGCUCUGAGGCUGCCCGACCCUGAGCUCCAGAACAGACCAUCGAGUUCAGGAGACAAGCAUGUCAGCCAUGACACAAGGCAGAUGAGAGGGACCCCCAGCGUCCACACGUGGAGGCAGCGGGGGCAGCCGAUCCAUACAAACAGGCUGACCAUCAGGGCUGGUCCCAGGCCACCAGGCUGGGUGCAAUGCAGAAAUGGAGAUCUGCCCCGGGGAAGGCAGGUGAGUGUAGGAAGGAGGGAGGGCUGCGAGAAGCUGGGGGCAGCCUCCAUCCCCCUGUGGCCUGGGUGGGCCUGUGCCCCCCCAACCCCCCGACGCAGCUUCCCACACUGGGAGCACAGUUCCUCCCUCCUCUGCCUUCCUCUGCGUGGUGUGGCUCCUCCUUGAGGGAGAGAGCUGAGGAGGUGGCAUUCUUGCUUCCCUGACUCACCCAAAGGAAGAUUUCACAGCCCCUGGCAAGGGCUGCCAGACAGGCUCACCUGUCACCCCCUGUCCAGGGACAGACUGACCGGUAGCCUUGGCUGGGUGGGGAGUUAUGCUGGGAAGUCUUCCAGGCCCCCUGGGGGUGGGAAGAUGCUCAAUGUUCAAAGGAGAUGGAACGAGGAAAACAGUUAAGCAACGAUGGACUCCAGGGGGAAAACCGGAGAAGAAGAAACUGUAAUUCCAGUCCGUCCACAUGGCCCAGCAGUGAACGACAAUUGCAUGGUCAGAGAGAGCAAAAGCACCACGCCGACUGAAAGCAGCUCGAAUGUGGUGGGGCAGUGGGAGAUAAUGCCCUCAUCUACCAAAACAAGAUCUGCCACCUUCGCAGACCACUAAACCUCAUUCCUCCACCCACCUCCCCACCCCCAUGAAGGCCAACUGACCAGAGAGCAGGGCUCCCGAGGGUCGGGUCGGGUCGGGUCGGGUUGGGUCGGGUGGGUGCCUCUUAC